UACGGAGGGUGCAAGCGUUGUUCGGAAUUAUUGGGCGUAAAGAGCGUGUAGGCGGUCGGGUAAGUCAGAUGUGAAAGCCUUCUGCUUAACAGAAGAAGUGCAUUUGAGACUGCUUGGCUGGAGUACGGGAGAGGAGAGUGGAAUUCCCGGUGUAGAGGUGAAAUUCGUAGAUAUCGGGAGGAACACCGGUGGCGAAGGCGGCUCUCUGGCCCGAUACUGACGCUGAGACGCGAAAGCGUGGGGAGCAAACAGG
RNAcentral lists this ribosomal RNA (253 nucleotides) under uncultured bacterium. RNAcentral's name for it is "partial 16S ribosomal RNA". It matches the Rfam family "Bacterial small subunit ribosomal RNA", at positions 524 to 776 of the family's 1533-position model. The record is from RNAcentral.